AGGCUGGGAAGUGGGUGAGACCUCAGAAGAGCAAGCAGGAACCCCAGUUAUAUGGUUCGCUUCCUGUCAUGCGACAGCAGCUCUGGGAAAGUAAGGAGACAAGCUGGAAGACCCCUGAGGGACUAAGGGCAACCGAAGAAGAGGAAGACAAUGUGAGGCGUUCCUCACAACCCAAGUUCACUGUGUGUAACUGUCCUCUUAACCAUGGAUUCCAGUCUGCUCUGCUCCCUGCCUGGAUCAUCCAGCACAGGCUACACAGCAGGUAUGUGACCAUUUGCAGCCAAAUGACUCAUAUAAAUGAGACAGUAGUGUGUGCAGAGGGCGGCUCUGUGGGGAGGCACUGGGAGGGGCUGGAGCCCAGUGGGCCUGUGGAGAUAGAUAGAAGACAAGCUUCAAGCCAGAGCACGAAGGGACAAGGGGAGCCUCCCUACUCAUCUCAAUGAAUCAAGUCUCUCCUAUGCACUGGGCUCUGCAGGCCUUGAACAACCUGAGGGGAGAAAAGCCCAUGACUGGUCCUCAUUCUCCAUCUGUGUAUCCCAGCUGGGAGAGACGAAGGUGCCACACCCAUGCAAAGUCCAAGAAGGCACAGGGCUUGGCACACAGUAGGGCUUGGCACACAGUAGGGGUGGGGAAGAUCAAAGCUGUCACGUGUUAAGAUGAGACAUGAGAAGCACCAGAGGCUCCCUUUCCCAUCACUCUCGAGGUCAGUCUGAGGCAUGUUUAUCUGGGCUCUCACCCCAGAGCCACAUCCCAUCUGGCCAGGCCAGGACUUCAUUUCUUUGGGCUUCAGGCCUGGACAAAAUGCAGAAGAAGCAGCCAGAGUCCCCAGCAGCAUCCCAAGGACUGGUCCCAGAGCCCGAGGCAGCCCAGGAGCUCAGGCUCAGGUAGCAGCUGGCAGAAACGGACAGCGGUGAGCACUUCCCCGCGGGCAGACACAGGACACUGGCUCGUGCAGCUGACACAAAGAGGCGGCUACAUCUCCUGGCCAUGCUUCCCUCUCAGCCCCACUCACAGAGACAGGGGGAUGGACAAGAUGG
Arvicanthis niloticus (Nile rat) is the source of this 1037-nucleotide non-coding RNA. The record is from RefSeq and is a predicted model, not a curated record. NCBI's taxonomy places the organism in Eukaryota, Metazoa, Chordata, Mammalia, Rodentia, Muridae.